Molecule: long non-coding RNA, 922 nt
Organism: Microcebus murinus (gray mouse lemur)
Lineage: Eukaryota; Metazoa; Chordata; Mammalia; Primates; Cheirogaleidae
Source: RefSeq, a predicted model, not a curated record
CCGUCCCUCUGAGGCUUAGUGCCGAGGAGGCAAAGGUGGCCAUGGUGGGCACUGUGAGCUGGGAGGAAAGGUUUUCAGCAGGGAGCUCGAGGUUGCAAACUAAUGGUGCGAGGUUGGAUCCAGACCAGAAAUGAAUUUUGGUAAGCCUACACUCUUGUAUAUCCUUCACUGUUCCAUUUUUGUUUUUUACUUUUUACUAAGCCAUAGGUACAGAAAGUUCUAUGUAUCAUAAGUGUACAGCUCAGUAAAUUUUCACAGAGUACACCUGUGUAUAGCAUUUAGCUAAACUUAAAAAACCCAGAGUAUUGCCAGCACCCGAGAAGCCCCUUCUCUUUUCUAUCUAGUGCUAACAGUUUUUGUUAACUCUUUCGAUACCUUUUUUUACACUGAAUUUUAGGAGGCUUAUCAGGAUUCGUACGUUAAAAUAGAAAAGUAGAUACUGCAUUUUUUAAAAUAUCAACAUCAGGAAAAAUGUAUUUAGGAGUAUAAGGUAAGCCCCAGGGCAAAUACAUACCUAAUAUUUAGACAUGUAACAACCAUAUGGGCCUACUGAGUUAAGGUUGAACUAUAAAUUUGUUUCUCAUUUUCCUGACAGCAUAACAAAAAGCCAAAUUAUCUUACAUAAUUUCCAUUGAGCAUUAAUAAAGGAACCAUACUCAUGAAAGGAGACAUUUUCUGUCUCUGAGGUCUGAAGAUAUUUCUCUGAUGGCCUUCCUUUCGGUAAUAAAGUAGACAGUCUACCCUAACUCUGAAAUAUGUGCAAUGCAGGCUUCUCCAGUGUACCUCAGUGGAAGCAGAGGACAUACAAAGGCAGGACGUGUUAAACAUCUUUUUCAGGGAACCAACUGCACAGCUGUCUGAUGGUCUUGUCUGGUAAAAUGUAAAAUAUUAGAAUAGACUAAUAAAUUGUGUAUCCUUUAAA